CCUACGGGGGGCAGCAGUCGGGAAUAUUGCGCAAUGGAGGGAACUCUGACGCAGUGACGCCGCGUAUAGGAAGAAGGUUUUCGGAUUGUAAACUAUUGUCGUUAGGGAAGAGAAAGGACAGUACCUAAGGAGGAAGCUCCGGCUAACUACGUGCCAGCAGCCGCGGUAAUACGUAGGGAGCGAGCGUUAUCCGGAAUUAUUGGGUGUAAAGGGUGCGCAGACGGGAGAACAAGUUAGUUGUGAAAUACCUCGGCUCAACUGAGGAACUGCAACUAAAACUGUACUUCUUGAGUGCAGGAGAGGUAAGUGGAAUUCCUAGUGUAGCGGUGAAAUGCGUAGAUAUUAGGAGGAACACCAGUGGCGAAGGCGACUUACUGGACUGUAACUGACGUUGAGGCACGAAAGUGUGGGGAGCAAACAGGAUUAGAUACCCCAGUAGUC
Molecule: ribosomal RNA, 441 nt
Filed under: uncultured bacterium
Lineage: Bacteria
Description: bacterial SSU rRNA
Rfam family: Bacterial small subunit ribosomal RNA
Source: RNAcentral